UUGACCCGGCGAUGUCCGAAUGGGGAAACCCAGUGUGUUCCGACACACUAUCGUUAACUGAAUACAUAGGUUAACGAGGCGAACCGGGGGAACUGAAACAUCUAAGUACCCCGAGGAAAAGAAAUCAACCGAGAUUCCCCCAGUAGCGGCGAGCGAACGGGGAGCAGCCCGGAGUCUGAAUCAGCUUGUGUGUUAGUGGAACGGUCUGGAAAGUCCGACGGUACAGGGUGAUAGUCCCGUACACGAAAAUGCACAUGCUGUGAACUCGAAGAGUAGGGCGGGACACGUGGUAUCCUGUCUGAAUAUGGGGGGACCAUCCUCCAAGGCUAAAUACUCCUGACUGACCGAUAGUGAACCAGUACCGUGAGGGAAAGGCGAAAAGAACCCCGGCGAGGGGAGUGAAAAAGAACCUGAAACCGUGUACGUACAAGCAGUGGGAGCACCUUCGGGUGUGACUGCGUACCUUUUGUAUAAUGGGUCAGCGACUUAUAUUCUGUAGCAAGGUUAACCGUAUAGGGGAGCCGAAGGGAAACCGAGUCUUAACUGGGCGUUAAGUUGCAGGGUAUAGACCCGAAACCCGGUGAUCUAGCCAUGGGCAGGUUGAAGGUUGGGUAACACUAACUGGAGGACCGAACCGACUAAUGUUGAAAAAUUAGCGGAUGACCUGUGGCUGGGGGUGAAAGGCCAAUCAAACCGGGAGAUAGCUGGUUCUCCCCGAAAGCUAUUUAGGUAGCGCCUCGUGAACUCAUCUUCGGGGGUAGAGCACUGUUUCGGCUAGGGGGCCAUCCCGGCUUACCAACCCGAUGCAAACUACGAAUACCGAAGAAUGUUAUCACGGGAGACACACGGCGGGUGCUAACGUCCGUCGUGAAGAGGGAAACAACCCAGACCGCCAGCUAAGGUCCCAAAGUCAUGGUUAAGUGGGAAACGAUGUGGGAAGGCACAGACAGCCAGGAUGUUGGCUUAGAAGCAGCCAUCAUUUAAAGAAAGCGUAAUAGCUCACUGGUCGAGUCGGCCUGCGCGGAAGAUGUAACGGGGCUAAACCAUGCACCGAAGCUGCGGCAGCGACGCUUAUGCGUUGUUGGGUAGGGGAGCGUUCUGUAAGCCGUUGAAGGUGUGCUGUGAGGCAUGCUGGAGGUAUCAGAAGUGCGAAUGCUGACAUAAGUAACGAUAAAGCGGGUGAAAAGCCCGCUCGCCGGAAGACCAAGGGUUCCUGUCCAACGUUAAUCGGGGCAGGGUGAGUCGACCCCUAAGGCGAGGCCGAAAGGCGUAGUCGAUGGGAAACAGGUUAAUAUUCCUGUACUUGGUGUUACUGCGAAGGGGGGACGGAGAAGGCUAUGUCAGCCGGGCGACGGUUGUCCCGGUUUAAGCAUGUAGGCGGAGGUUCCAGGUAAAUCCGGUACCUUAUUAACGCUGAGGUGUGAUGACGAGGCACUACGGUGCUGAAGUGAUAAAUGCCCUGCUUCCAGGAAAAGCCUCUAAGCAUCAGGUAACACGAAAUCGUACCCCAAACCGACACAGGUGGUCAGGUAGAGAAUACCAAGGCGCUUGAGAGAACUCGGGUGAAGGAACUAGGCAAAAUGGUGCCGUAACUUCGGGAGAAGGCACGCUGAUAUGUAGGUGAAGCCCCUGCGGGCGGAGCUGAAAUCAGUCGAAGAUACCAGCUGGCUGCAACUGUUUAUUAAAAACACAGCACUGUGCAAACACGAAAGUGGACGUAUACGGUGUGACGCCUGCCCGGUGCCGGAAGGUUAAUUGAUGGGGUUAGCGGCAACGCGAAGCUCUUGAUCGAAGCCCCGGUAAACGGCGGCCGUAACUAUAACGGUCCUAAGGUAGCGAAAUUCCUUGUCGGGUAAGUUCCGACCUGCACGAAUGGCGUAAUGAUGGCCAGGCUGUCUCCACCCGAGACUCAGUGAAAUUGAACUCGCUGUGAAGAUGCAGUGUACCCGCGGCAAGACGGAAAGACCCCGUGAACCUUUACUAUAGCUUGACACUGAACACUGGUCCUUGAUGUGUAGGAUAGGUGGGAGGCUUUGAAGCGUGGACGCCAGUCUGCGUGGAGCCGCCCUUGAAAUACCACCCUUUAAUGGCUGGUGUUCUAACGUAGACCCGUGAUCCGGGUUGCGGACAGUGUCUGGUGGGUAGUUUGACUGGGGCGGUCUCCUCCCAAAGAGUAACGGAGGAGCACGAAGGUUGGCUAAUCCUGGUCGGACAUCAGGAGGUUAGUGCAAUGGCAUAAGCCAGCUUGACUGCGAGCGUGACGGCGCGAGCAGGUGCGAAAGCAGGUCAUAGUGAUCCGGUGGUUCUGAAUGGAAGGGCCAUCGCUCAACGGAUAAAAGGUACUCCGGGGAUAACAGGCUGAUACCGCCCAAGAGUUCAUAUCGACGGCGGUGUUUGGCACCUCGAUGUCGGCUCAUCACAUCCUGGGGCUGAAGUAGGUCCCAAGGGUAUGGCUGUUCGCCAUUUAAAGUGGUACGCGAGCUGGGUUUAGAACGUCGUGAGACAGUUCGGUCCCUAUCUGCCGUGGGCGCUGGAGAAUUGAGGGGGGCUGCUCCUAGUACGAGAGGACCGGAGUGGACGCAUCACUGGUGUUCGGGUUGUCAUGCCAAUGGCACUGCCCGGUAGCUAAAUGCGGAAGAGAUAAGUGCUGAAAGCAUCUAAGCACGAAACUUGCCCCGAGAUGAGUUCUCCCUGAGAC
Molecule: ribosomal RNA, 2698 nt
Filed under: Enterobacter hormaechei
Lineage: Bacteria; Pseudomonadati; Pseudomonadota; Gammaproteobacteria; Enterobacterales; Enterobacteriaceae
Also listed under: 1 other name
Description: partial 23S ribosomal RNA
Rfam family: Bacterial large subunit ribosomal RNA
Source: RNAcentral